GCAGUCGAGCGGAACGAGUUAUCUGAACCUUCGGGGAACGAUAACGGCGUCGAGCGGCGGACGGGUGAGUAAUGCCUAGGAAAUUGCCCUGAUGUGGGGGAUAACCAUUGGAAACGAUGGCUAAUACCGCAUGAUGCCUACGGGCCAAAGAGGGGGACCUUCGGGCCUCUCGCGUCAGGAUAUGCCUAGGUGGGAUUAGCUAGUUGGUGAGGUAAGGGCUCACCAAGGCGACGAUCCCUAGCUGGUCUGAGAGGAUGAUCAGCCACACUGGAACUGAGACACGGUCCAGACUCCUACGGGAGGCAGCAGUGGGGAAUAUUGCACAAUGGGCGCAAGCCUGAUGCAGCCAUGCCGCGUGUGUGAAGAAGGCCUUCGGGUUGUAAAGCACUUUCAGUCGUGAGGAAGGUGGUGGUGUUAAUAGCUCCAUCAUUUGACGUUAGCGACAGAAGAAGCACCGGCUAACUCCGUGCCAGCAGCCGCGGUAAUACGGAGGGUGCGAGCGUUAAUCGGAAUUACUGGGCGUAAAGCGCAUGCAGGUGGUUUGUUAAGUCAGAUGUGAAAGCCCGGGGCUCAACCUCGGAAUAGCAUUUGAAACUGGCAGACUAGAGUACUGUAGAGGGGGGGUAGAAUUUCAGGUGUAGCGGUGAAAUGCGUAGAGAUCUGAAGGAAUACCGGUGGCGAA
This 682-nucleotide ribosomal RNA is filed under the name Vibrio alginolyticus. RNAcentral describes it as "bacterial SSU rRNA". It matches the Rfam family "Bacterial small subunit ribosomal RNA", at positions 57 to 719 of the family's 1533-position model. The record is from RNAcentral. Lineage: Bacteria; Pseudomonadati; Pseudomonadota; Gammaproteobacteria; Vibrionales; Vibrionaceae.